GUGAACGCUGGCGGUAGGCCUAACACAUGCAAGUCGAACGGCAGCACAGUAAGAGCUUGCUCUUACGGGUGGCGAGUGGCGGACGGGUGAGGAAUACAUCGGAAUCUACUUUUUCGUGGGGGAUAACGUAGGGAAACUUACGCUAAUACCGCAUACGACCUACGGGUGAAAGCAGGGGAUCUUCGGACCAUGCGCGAUUGAAUGAGCCGAUGUCGGAUUAGCUAGUUGGCGGGGUAAAGGCCCACCAAGGCGACGAUCCGUAGCUGGUCUGAGAGGAUGAUCAGCCACACUGGAACUGAGACACGGUCCAGACUCCUACGGGAGGCAGCAGUGGGGAAUAUUGGACAAUGGGCGCAAGCCUGAUCCAGCCAUACCGCGUGGGUGAAGAAGGCCUUCGGGUUGUAAAGCCCUUUUGUUGGGAAAGAAAAGCAGCAGGUUAAUACCCCGCUGUUCUGACGGUACCCAAAGAAUAAGCACCGGCUAACUUCGUG
This 491-nucleotide ribosomal RNA is filed under the name uncultured bacterium. RNAcentral describes it as "partial 16S ribosomal RNA". It matches the Rfam family "Bacterial small subunit ribosomal RNA", at positions 29 to 507 of the family's 1533-position model. The record is from RNAcentral.